ACAUCGACAGGGAACUGCCAGAAAUUCAGGUUGGUUUCAGAAGAGGAGGUGGAAUCAGGGAUAUCAUUGCUGAUAUCAGAUGGAUCCUGGCUGAAAGCAGAGAAUACCAGAAGGAUGUUUACCUGUGUUUUAUUGACUAUGAAAAGGCAUUCGACUGUGUGGAUCAUAACAAACUAUGGAUAACACUGCAAAGAAUGGGAAUUUCAGAACACUUAAUUGUGCUCAUAAGGAACCUUUACAUAGAUCAAGAGGCAGUUGUUCAGACAGAACAAGGGGAUACUGAUUGGCUUAAAGUCAGGAAAGGUGUGCGUCAGGGUUGUAUUCUUUCACGAUACCUAUUUAAUCUGUAUGCUGAACAAAUAAUCCGAGAAGCUGGACUAUUAUGAAGAAGAACAAGGCAUCAGGAUUGGAGGAAGACUCAUUAACAACCUGCGUUAUGCAGAUGACACAACCUUGCUUGCUGAAAGUGAAGAGGACUUAAAGCACUUACGAAUGAAGAUCAAAGACCACAGCCUUCAGUAUGGAUUGCACCUCAAUAUAAAGAAAACAAAAAUCCUUACAACUGGACCAAUAAGCAACAUCAUGAUAAACGGAGAAAAGACUGAAGUUGUCAAGGAUUUCAUUUUACUUGGAUCCACAAUCAACACCCGUGGAAGCAGCAGUCAUGAAAUCAAAAGAUGCAUUGCAUUGGGUAAAUCUGCUGCAAAGGACCUCUUCAAAGUGUUGAAGAGCAAAGAUGUCACCCUGAAGACUAAGGUGGGCCUGACUCAGGCCAUGGUAUUUUCAAUCGCAUCAUAUGCAUGUGAAAGCUGGACAGUGAAUACAGAAGACAGAAGAAGAGCUGACGCCUUUGAAUUGUGGUGGUGGCAAAGAAUAUUGAAUAUACCAUGGACUGCCAAAAGAGCGAACAAAUCUGUCUUGGAGGAAGUGCGGUCAGAAUGCUCCUUAGAGGCAAGGAUGGCGAGGCUGCGUCUUACAUACUUUGGACAUGUUGUCAGCAGGGAUCAGUCCCUGGAGAAGGACAUCAUGCUUGGCAGAGUACAGGGUCAGCAGAAAAGAGGAAGACCCUCAACAAGGUGGACUGACACAGUGGCUGCAACAAUGAGCUCAAGCAUAACGAUUGUAAGGAUGGCACAGGACUGGGCUGUGUUUCGUUCUGUUGUGCAUAGGGUCGCUAUGAGUCGGAACUGACUUGAUGGCACCUAAUAACAACAUAUUAGAAAGUGAUAUGUUCUAUGGAAAGAAAUUACAAAGGAAAACAGACUGGCAGUAGGGUGAGGCUGCGAUAUUAAAUAGUGUGAUCAAAAAAGGUCUCACUGAGAAGUUGAAAUAUGGGUUAAGACAUGAAGGAAGGAGAAAGUCAUUACCUAAGAGAAGAUAACUUGAGGCAUAAGAAUGGUUGAUGGAAAAUAAGAAAUAUGGCUGCUACAUUUCAACAAUCUGUAGGAGGCCGGUGCAGCUGGAGCAGGGUAAGCAAGCGGAAGAGGAGUAAGAACUGAGGUCAGAGAGGUAAAUGGGGAACAUAGGUAAAAACUGGAAGAAACAUAAAUAUGCAGCAGGAGACUGGCUACAUAUAUCCUGGGGCACCUAUAUAAUAAGACACUUUAUUACUAAGAAUAGCUUAGAACUAAAUGUAUUGAUAUUAAAAGAUCUGCAUAGACAGGGUCAGCACUGUGCAUAUUCUAUGAUCCAAUCUGUGUACAUUAGUACAUGCUCUUUAUGUCAGAAAAACACCUUCCAAAAGGAUACAUACGAAACUGUUAAUAAUGGCAGCCUUUACAUAGAAGAGUCAGUGGUGGAGUGGAGAAUAACAGAGGCUUUUACUUUCCAUUUUAUACUUUUAUGCACUUAUGAGUCUUCUGCUUUUUGUAAACGAUCUGUAUAUAUACAACUUUAUUUUAAAAAGAAAAGAAAAAAGCAAUUUGUGUAUCUUCGGCAUGAUCUCUUUUCAGUCAAACCUCACAAGCAGUUGAUGCAAGAGUUUUGCCUUUUGCCCUCUGGAUGCCAUCUCAGCAUCCCGAAAUGAAUUUUGCAAGUGUUCCAUUUCCUAACUUCCUUUCUGAAAGCAAUGAUUUUACUAAGCCUUGACAAUUUCACUAAAAAAAAAAAAAACCCAGUUACUCAAUUUCAGCUUCCUGGCUACUUAGUAACUACAUCAAUCUUAGCACUUUAAUUCCCAUGUCUUCUCCAAACUGAUUACUAUACCAACAGCAAACUUACUUGUAUGAAUGUAUUCACUCAGGCCUCUGCUCUGCAGAUAAACUAUGUCACUACCCACCUGUCAGUGUGUCAUACUGUGGUUGCUUGAGUUUUGCUAUGAUGCUGGAAGCUACGCCACUGGCAUUUCGAAUACCAGAAAGGUCAGCCAUGGUGGACAGGUUCAGCAGAGCUUCCCGACUAAGGUAAACUAGGAGGAAAAUCCUGGCGAUCUACUUCUAAAAAUUAGCCAAUGAAAAUCCUGUGGAUCACUACAGAGUAUUGUCAGAUAAAGUGCUGGAAGAUGAGCUUCUUAGGUUGGAACACAAGCAAAAAAAAAAAAAAAAAACAGCGGUUACAACAACAGACUCGAGCAUACCAACGAUCAUGAAGGUAGUACAGGGACUGGGCAAUAUUUUGUUCUGUAGUACAUGCUCCUCCCACAUGAAAACUUCUUGAAUUCAUUUCUGACAUUUUAAUUGCUCAGAAUUUCCAACAUAAUUUACCCUGUAUUAACCAUAUGCACAUAUCAGUUCUGUUUCUCCAUUAAGCAUGCACUCUCUUUGAGAACAGGGGCCAAGUUUUUCCUUUCUUUAGUAUCUUCCCAAUAUGAUGCUCCCCACACAACAGGUGUGCCAUCUGUGUUGCUGCAUUAGUUCAUUUAUUUAUUAAUUCAUAUUGCUUAAAAAGUAAUUUUAUAAAAACAGAAUGAAUGAUGCAAUCUAGAACGGUCAUAUAAAUAGCCUCGAAACCUCUGCAGUGAGUUCUGUGGAUUUACCUGCUCGUCUUCCAUUCUACCUUUUUUCUAGGAUGACUUUUUACUACUGCAGAAGCUACAAAGCCUUGUUUGUAAAAUUAUUGAGGUAUCUGGAAGAUGAAAAUGAGUCAAACUAUAACUUCUUGACUCAUUUCACUUCCCCCCGCCUUUUUUUUUGCCAAAAAGCAAUGCUAUGGAGAACGAGAGGUUUUUUUUGUAGCAGAUUCCUGUGCCCAUUCUUCAGCUUUCUGGGUACCAAGGGACAGUUGUGAUAGAGGUAGUGGCCAGAAUACACGUUCCCAUGCCCAUAUAACAAUUUAGAGGCUGUGAUGGAGGCUACAGGAGCUGCCUGGCAACUGGACUGCAGUAAUGAUAGUAGCUCCUUGUGUUCUAAUGGCAACCUGAGGUGGAUCAUUUCUUGAGGCCCAAUCUAGAGCCCACUCCAGGUUUUCCCAUGAUUUUAUGAGCCCUGAUUCCCAUGCAUAUUAGUUUCUUAUGGCUUCUGUAACAAAUUACCACAAACCUGGUAGGUUAAAAACAAUAGAAAUUUAUUCUCCUACCGUUCUGGAGGCCAGAAAUCCAAAAUGAGUCAUAAGGGCUCAGUCAAGGGAUUAAAAUCAAGGUGCUGGCAGGGCCAAGCUCCUUCCAGAGGUUCUGACCUUGCCUCUUCCAUAGUCUAGAGUUGUCUGACUUGCAUUCCUUGGCUCAUGUGUCCUUCUUCCAUGUUCAAAGCCAGUGGUUUAGCAUCUUCUCACUCUGACUCUACUUCUGUCACACGGCCUUUGUCUUAGUUGUCUAGUGCUACUAUAAGAGAAAUGCCACAAGUGGAUGGCUUUAACAAUCAGAAAUUUACUUUCUCACAGUUUAGGAGGCUAAAAGUCUGAAUUCAGAGCAUUGGCUCUAGGGGAAAGCUUUCUCAGUCUGCUAUGGAGGACGGGCCUUGUCUCUUUUGAGCUUCUGCUCCUUCGGUGAUCUUUAUGUGGCUUGGCAUCUCUCUUUUCCUAUCUCUGAUUCUUUCUCUUGUUUGUUUGAUCUCUUUUAUAUCUCAAAAGACAUACCCCUACAUUAAUCCUGCCAAAUGGGAUUAUAACCACAAGCACAGAGGUUAGGAUUUAUUACACAUAUUUUUGGGGGAUAUAAUUCAACGAAUAAUAGCCUUCUUUCUUCUGUUAUGAAAUCUCCUUCUAAUGUGUGAUUGUAUUUAGGGCUCACCUGGAUAAUCCAGGAUAAUCUCCUCAUCUCAAAGUACCUAAUUACUACUACUGCAAAGUCCAUUUUGCCAUGUAAGGUAACAUUCAUCACUAACAGGGAUUAAGAUCUAGAGAUCUUUGGAGACCAUUAUUCAGCCUAUCACACUCUGCCUCACACGUCUACAUGUCACCAUAUUCACAGGUUCUAGAGAUUAGGAUAAUGACAUUAUUGGGAGAGAGGUAUUAUUUUGCCUACUCCAGCAAGGUGUAGUGAUAAAUACGAAAACAUGAUAGAGAAAUAAUGAAAGUUAUAGUGCUGCCAGGAGGAUUUUUUCCUUUAUCACCUUCCCCAUAUCUGGUCCAUCCUUCCUAUUUAGCUCGGACUCCAGCUACUCACCAGUCAAGCCUCGACAAUGUUACCAACCAGACUUAAAGGAUUCCUGCUUCCCUGUCUUCUCUCAUCUUGCUCCUUUAGGUGAAAUGGCCUCCUUCCUCCUGCUUUACAGCUUAAAACCUCCUCCAUUAUUUCAGUGCCCGAGAGAAAUCCUUCCUGCUCUCUAAAAUCUUCCUCAUCACUUCAGCUGCAAGAGAUUUUUGCUGUCCUAAAGAAUUGCCUCACCUCUGUAAGAUUUGCCUUUAGCUCUGCAAUAUUUAUGAUCGUGUGCAGUUAUCUUUACAUCUGUUCAGAUCUAUCAUCCCCAGCAGGAAUGUGAGCUCCCAUAGAUCGGGUACUCUGUUUUGUAUGCACAGAUAGCUAAUUAUUUUUCAUCUCUAAAUAUAACAAAAGAAAAUACCACUAAACUUAAAGAAAUAUUUAGAAUAUGUCUAUUUUUUCUCUAAACUUUCUAUAUCACGAAAAUUCGUUUUGAAAUUCUUAGUAAUUUGCUGUACUUUCGCAUUAUACUUGACAAGUCACUGGUUGCAGAGAGAUGACAGCAGACGUUUUAAGAAAAAUAAAUAUUUUUUUCUAAACAAUGCAUUUGCUGAAGACCCCCCCCAAAUUUCUUCCUGUUCAAAUAAAAACAAAACAAAACUAACAAGCAAAAAAACCAAACCCAUUGCCACUGAGUCAAUUCCAACCCAUAGCGGACCUACAGCAUAGAGUAGGACUGUCCCAUAGGGUUUCUAAGGAGCGACUGGCGACCUUUUGGUUAGCAGCUGAGCUCUUAACAACUGCACCAUGGACCCUCAAUAUGAAAAUCACAUUCCUACAAAUAUUAAUAAAAGUGGUUUAAUGAAACCUACUGACAAAUUCAGUUUUGAUACUUCAAUGUUUGGUAAAUUAAUAUGAUUGCCAUGAAUAAAAAAUUGCAGAGUACAUUUUCCAUGGAUAAUAUUCUCUAAAGCUUUGCUCCUUGCUAUGCCAUAAAUAAGAUGGUUCUCUUAUAAUGAAUUCCUAUCCACAGAACUAUGGAAAACACAAAUUUGGGUAUUUGGAUAUGUUAGAUAAUGGAAAUGGUUAAGAAUUAAGACUAAAUUGGGAAAAAAAAGGUAAUGAUUAUGCAAUCUAAAUUUUAAUGAGUGACUUAUGGAUUAUACUAGGAGUAAAGGCUGCUUUCAGAUGUUUAUUAAAAAAACACAACUAAGAUUUUAUUUGUCCUUAUUUUAAGUUUAGGAGAUAUAUACUUUUCUAUUAGAUAAUCAUCUAUUAGAUAAAGAACACAUCAAAUAUUACAAGUACUUAUAUUUUCUUAUAAUGUAAAGCGUUAGUAUUUUAAAAGGGUGCACUUGAAUUAAGAAAAAAUGUUCAAACACAUGGAAGAUUUUUGCAUUGGCUCCUCUAAGGACACCAGGAAUCCAUUUAUUUAUUAUUCUAGAUUUCUAUUUUCUCCAAUGGUUAAAAAUCGCCUGUUUCUAUAAUGUGGUAGUAACAUUCUCGCAUUUUUUUUCAUUCAAACAUCCCAUAUCAUGUACUACUAUUUCCAUCCAACCAUUCAUUUAUCCAGAUACCAAUGCUUCUAUCCAUUCACCUAACCAGUACUGAAUACAGCACAAAUAUUUCAGAACUGCUGGGGGAAGGACCAUAGGUAGAAAUAUCACCUAUUCUCUAUAACUCUUCUCCCUGCAAACCCCAAACAACUGGCAGAAACCAUGUAUAACUACUUUCUAGAACAAAUGACUAAACAUUACCAGUUUGAAUUAAAGAAAUUAAAAAUCUGCUUAGAAUUCUCUGAGUAAUUCUAGAAUUCUUUUAUUAGCAAGAAAGUCUGUUGGUUUGAAAUAGUCUGAGAAAAAAGCCUUGUAUCUCCUUUUCAAUAUUUGGCCAGGGUGAGGAUAUAAUUUGUAACAGGCGAGAGGGCAUGAAGUUAAGAGGGUUCUCCCUCUGGUAUAGCAAAGGCCUGGAAUCCCAGAUAUAAGCAACCAUGAUUACUUAUUCCCACCAAAACACGGUAUGAUGAAAGGGCUAAACACUGAAAUAUUUUAGAGAGUUACAAAAUCUCCCUUCUGCGUUUUUUUUUUUUUAACUCCUUUCCUUCUGCUCUCUGUUCUGUAUUCUGUGCCUCAUGAAAGCAGACAUGAAACCACAAAGAGGUGAGUCAGGGUUUCCAGCCUCUCUAACGUGGGCACUGCACUGAGGCACUUCAGUGAUGUAGAUUUCUGUUGCCUAAUCAGUCCUUUAAGGAGCCCUCAUGGUGCAAUGUUUAAGCUCUCAUCUGCUAACUGAAAGGUUGGGGGGUUGAACCCACCAACCUCUCUGUGGGAGAAAAGACCUAGCAAUUUGCUCCCAUAUAUAUAUAUUUAAAUUAUAGCUUAGGAAGCCCUAUGGGCCAGUUCUACUCUGUUUUAUGGCGUCACUAUAAGAAGGAAUUGACUCGAUGGUGGCACAGAACAAUAACAACAAUCAGUCCUUUCUUGGGAGUCAGGGCAGGGAUGCUGCUGCUGUGGUUGUGCUCACAUCACCCACUCUACAGCAAUGCCAUACAAAUUUAUUGCUUACUUAAUCUGCAAAUCCUAAACCAUGCAAAGUAUUAAACAACAGUGGUUGAGAAUUGCGUUACUCUAUUUCCAUGGUACUUGCACUCCCUUUUGAUUAUAAAAUUGUCCAUGUUACCAUAAAACCUUGAUCAUUUGGCACUUAAAAGGACAAUUUUAUGAGAAGAGUCUACAAUCUUAAGAGAUUUACCUCAUGGAUCGAAUGUUUAUUUCAGGAAGUUUGGCCUUGCUUUAAAACAUGACUAGAAAAUCUAACAUGGGAAUUUAGUAAUGACCUAUGAUUUCAGGUACUGAAAUGUUUCUCUUUUCAUGUUUGAAAAAGAUGAGUACAAAGAAGUGACUAAUUAGUCCUGAGUACACUGCAAUGUGAUGACAAAUUCUAUGGUUUCUAAUAACUACUCAUUUUACCACUUCUUGAUCCUCAUGAAUAUUUAUACAAAGAUAUACAUAAGCACUGAUUAUGCAUCAGCCCAUAUAGGUAUAAUAACAACACUUGAUGGCUCACAUGGUUUCUGCUCACUGAGAAUUUGCAAUCUUCAAUAAAAAAAAAUCACUAGAAUGUUCAAGGAUAAAAUUGCUAUGGUUAACAGUUUUUUUUUUAUGAAUAACUAAUGAAAAAGAUGUUGAAAACUUAAGCAAAAUAUAUCCUUAUAGUUUUCUGAUACAAUAAAUAGGGGCUUCAAAUAAAAAUUUAACAUCUUCAGAUAAUCAUCCUGAAGAUCAGCACUGUGCUGUGAUUACGAAGAGAUUACAGAAGUCCCCCUCUUAUCCAUGGUUUCACUUGCUACUAUUUCACUUACCCGCAGUCAACCACGAUCAGAAAAUGUUAAACGGGCAGCAUGAUGAAAUCGUGUGCUGUCCCUUUCCAUCCUUCCCUGGACGUGAAUCAUUCCUUUGUCCGGCAUAUCCACUCUCAAUAAUUGUCUCAGUCAUCAGAUUGCCUAUUUGGGUAUCACAGUGCUUGUGUUCAAGUCACCCUAAUUUUACUUAGUAAUGUCCCCAGAGUGCAAGAAUAGUAAUGCUGGCAAUUUGGAUAUGCCAAAGAGAAGCCGCAAAGUGCUUCCUUUAAGUGAAAAGGUGAAGUUCUUGACAUCACCACAAAAAGAAGGCUGAUGCUCCUGAGAGGCCAUUUUAGGUUCUGUUCCGAGAUUUUUUUGGAUCCGCUGUCUCCUUUUUCUACUUGGUGCAAUAUCAGCCAUAUCAGCACUUGAAAAAAUGGAAUCAUCUUUUCUUAAAGUGGCUAUAAAAAAAAAAAAUAUAAAAGGGGGAAGCAAGCAGACAAAAAUGGAGGACCUCACACCACCAAGAAAGCAGUGCCAGGAGCAGAGCACAUCCUUGGACCUGCGGUUCCGGCAUAGAGAAGCUCCUAGACCAGGUGAAGAUUGAUGACAAAGAUGUUCCUCCAGAGACAAAAGAGAAGAAAGCCUUCCCCUGAAGCUGGCAUCCUGAAUUUGGGCUUCUAGCCUCCUAAACUGUGAGAGAAUAAAUUUCUCUUUGUUAAAAGCAUCCAUUUGUGGUAUUUCUGUUAUAGCAGCACUAGAUAAUUAAGACAUUUGCCUUAUUCUUUUUCCAUAAGCUCUAUACUGAUAGUGUCACUAUCUUGUAUUUAUAUUGUACCUAAUAACUGGAACUUUAAAAAUUAAUAUGAAAGAAAAAUAUAAUUUUUCUUGACUGCCCUAUAAGGAAUAAAAUGACCAAAAUAUUGCUUCUUUUA
This is a long non-coding RNA of Loxodonta africana (African savanna elephant), 8791 nucleotides long. RefSeq lists it as uncharacterized. The transcript has 3 exons. The record is from RefSeq and is a predicted model, not a curated record. NCBI's taxonomy places the organism in Eukaryota, Metazoa, Chordata, Mammalia, Proboscidea, Elephantidae.